CCGUCGAUAGCUCAGUGGCAGAGCGGUGGACUGUGACGAAUAAAAGCCGAACCAUAGGUCGCUGGUUCGACUCCGGCUCGACGGA
Araneus ventricosus is the source of this 85-nucleotide non-coding RNA. NCBI's taxonomy places the organism in Eukaryota, Metazoa, Arthropoda, Arachnida, Araneae, Araneidae. The record is from the annotation of a GenBank genome assembly.